CACGUAGUUAGCCGGUGCUUAUUCUUCAGGUACCGUCAUCAGACAGGGGUAUUAACCCCGCCCUUUUCUUCCCUGACAAAAGUCCUUUACAACCCGAAGGCCUUCUUCAGACACGCGGCAUGGCUGGAUCAGGCUUGCGCCCAUUGUCCAAAAUUCCCCACUGCUGCCUCCCGUAGGAGUCUGGGCCGUGUCUCAGUCCCAGUGUGGCGGAUCAUCCUCUCAGACCCGCUACUGAUCGUCGCCUUGGUAGGCCUUUACCCCACCAACUAGCUAAUCAGAUAUCGGCCGCUCAAACAGCGCAAGGCCAAAUGGUCCCCUGCUUUCUUCCUCAGAAAAUAUGCGGUAUUAGCUAAUCUUUCGAUUAGUUAUCCCCCACUGCCCGGUACGUUCCGAUAUGUUACUCACCCGUUCGCCACUCGCCACCCAAGAAGCAAGCUUCUCUGUGCUGCCGUCCGACUUGCAUGUGUAAAGCAUGCCGCCAGCGUUCAAUCUGAGCCAGGAUA
Molecule: ribosomal RNA, 503 nt
Filed under: uncultured Neisseria sp.
Lineage: Bacteria; Pseudomonadati; Pseudomonadota; Betaproteobacteria; Neisseriales; Neisseriaceae
Description: partial 16S ribosomal RNA
Source: RNAcentral